RNAcentral lists this ribosomal RNA (253 nucleotides) under uncultured bacterium. Its description in RNAcentral is "partial 16S ribosomal RNA". It matches the Rfam family "Bacterial small subunit ribosomal RNA", at positions 524 to 776 of the family's 1533-position model. The record is from RNAcentral.
UACAUGGGGUGCAAACGUUGCUCGGAAUUAUUGGGCGUAAAGCGCACGUAGGUGGUCUGUUAUGUCAGAUGUGAAAGCCCUCGGCUUAACUGAGGAAGUGCACCUGAAACUGGCAGGCUUGAGUACGAAAGAGGGUCGCGGAAUUCCCGGUGUAGAGGUGAAAUUCGUAGAUAUCAGGAGGAAUACCGAUGGCGAAGGCAGGUCUCUGGGCUGACACUGACGCUCAUGCACGAAAGCGUGGGGAGCAAACAGG